RNAcentral lists this ribosomal RNA (484 nucleotides) under uncultured bacterium. Its description in RNAcentral is "partial 16S ribosomal RNA". It matches the Rfam family "Bacterial small subunit ribosomal RNA", at positions 30 to 507 of the family's 1533-position model. The record is from RNAcentral.
AUUGAACGCUGGCGGCAGGCCUAACACAUGCAAGUCGAGCGGAUGAAGGGAGCUUGCUCCUGGAUUCAGCGGCGGACGGGUGAGUAAUGCCUAGGAAUCUGCCUGGUAGUGGGGGAUAACGUCCGGAAACGGGCGCUAAUACCGCAUACGUCCUGAGGGAGAAAGUGGGGGAUCUUCGGACCUCACGCUAUCAGAUGAGCCUAGGUCGGAUUAGCUAGUUGGUGGGGUAAAGGCCUACCAAGGCGACGAUCCGUAACUGGUCUGAGAGGAUGAUCAGUCACACUGGAACUGAGACACGGUCCAGACUCCUACGGGAGGCAGCAGUGGGGAAUAUUGGACAAAGGGCGAAAGCCUGAUCCAGCCAUGCCGCGUGUGUGAGGAAGGUCUUCGGAUUGUAAAGCACUUUAAGUUGGGAGGAAGGGCAGUAAGUUAAUACCUUGCUGUUUUGACGUUACCAACAGAAUAAGCACCGGCUAACUUCGUG